Molecule: ribosomal RNA, 620 nt
Filed under: Nocardioides sp. I12A-00932
Lineage: Bacteria; Bacillati; Actinomycetota; Actinomycetes; Propionibacteriales; Nocardioidaceae
Description: bacterial SSU rRNA
Rfam family: Bacterial small subunit ribosomal RNA
Source: RNAcentral
CGAACGGGUGAGUAACACGUGAGUAAUCUGCCCUUGGCUUUGGGAUAGCCACCGGAAACGGUGAUUAAUACCGGAUACGACCACUUCACGCAUGUGAUGGUGGUGGAAAGUUUUUCGGCCAGGGAUGUGCUCGCGGCCUAUCAGCUUGAUGGUGAGGUAAUGGCUCACCAUGGCUUCGACGGGUAGCCGGCCUGAGAGGGUGACCGGUCACACUGGGACUGAGACACGGCCCAGACUCCUACGGGAGGCAGCAGUGGGGAAUAUUGGACAAUGGGCGGAAGCCUGAUCCAGCAACGCCGCGUGAGGGAUGACGGCCUUCGGGUUGUAAACCUCUUUCGCCUGUGACGAAGCGCAAGUGACGGUAACAGGUAAAGAAGCACCGGCCAACUACGUGCCAGCAGCCGCGGUAAUACGUAGGGUGCGAGCGUUGUCCGGAAUUAUUGGGCGUAAAGGGCUCGUAGGCGGUUUGUCGCGUCGGGAGUGAAAACCAGGUGCUUAACACCUGGCUUGCUUUCGAUACGGGCAGACUAGAGGUAUUCAGGGGAGAACGGAAUUCCUGGUGUAGCGGUGAAAUGCGCAGAUAUCAGGAGGAACACCGGUGGCGAAGGCGGUUCUCUGGG